Molecule: ribosomal RNA, 437 nt
Filed under: uncultured bacterium
Lineage: Bacteria
Description: bacterial SSU rRNA
Rfam family: Bacterial small subunit ribosomal RNA
Source: RNAcentral
UGGGGAAUAUUGCACAAUGGGCGAAAGCCUGAUGCAGCGACGCCGCGUGAGGGAUGACGGCCUUCGGGUUGUAAACCUCUUUCGCUCAUGGUCAAGCCGCAACAGUGGUUGUGGUGAGGGUAGUGGGUAAAGAAGCGCCGGCUAACUACGUGCCAGCAGCCGCGGUAAUACGUAGGGCGCGAGCGUUGUCCGGAAUUAUUGGGCGUAAAGGGCUUGUAGGCGGUUGGUCGCGUCUGCCGUGAAAUCCUCUGGCUUAACUGGGGGCGUGCGGUGGGUACGGGCUGACUUGAGUGCGGUAGGGGAGACUGGAACUCCUGGUGUAGCGGUGGAAUGCGCAGAUAUCAGGAAGAACACCGGUGGCGAAGGCGGGUCUCUGGGCCGUUACUGACGCUGAGGAGCGAAAGCGUGGGGAGCGAACAGGAUUAGAUACCCUGGUA